RNAcentral lists this ribosomal RNA (478 nucleotides) under uncultured bacterium. RNAcentral describes it as "partial 16S ribosomal RNA". It matches the Rfam family "Bacterial small subunit ribosomal RNA", at positions 28 to 507 of the family's 1533-position model. The record is from RNAcentral.
GAUGAACGCUAGCGGCAGGCCUAACACAUGCAAGUCGAGGGAGAAGCCCUUUCGGGGGCAGAAACCGGCGCACGGGUGCGUAACGCGUAUGCAACCUACCUUUCACAGGGGGAUAGCCCGAAGAAAUUUGGAUUAAUACCCCAUAAUAUUAUUGGAUGGCAUCAUUUGAUAAUUAAAACUGCGGUGGUGAAAGAUGGGCAUGCGUCCUAUUAGCUAGUUGGAGUGGUAACGGCACCCCAAGGCUACGAUAGGUAGGGGUCCUGAGAGGGAGAUCCCCCACACUGGUACUGGGACAGGGACCAGACUCCUACGGGAGGCAGCAGUGAGGAAUAUUGGCCAAUGGUCGGAAGACUGAACCAGCCAUGCCGCGUGCAGGAAGAAUGCCUUAUGGGUUGUAAACUGCUUUUAUAUGGGAAGAAUAAGGCGUACGUGUACGUUGAUGACGGUACCAUAUGAAUAAGCAUCGGCUAACUCCGUG